This 1147-nucleotide long non-coding RNA is filed under the name Homo sapiens (human). Its description in RNAcentral is "HSALNT0396646". Lineage: Eukaryota; Metazoa; Chordata; Mammalia; Primates; Hominidae. The record is from RNAcentral.
CCCAGGCAUGAGAUCAGAGUCACAACAUGUAGGUGCUGGGCCAAGUGAUAUGUCACAAUGCCCACUGUAGACAGGUUCCAGGAAGAAAAGGAGCAUCACAUCAUCUAGGUGAUAAACCCUGAGAUAUCUCACAAUGACCCCUUUGUGCAGAGAUCACAAAGAAGAAUCAUAUAACCUGUGUGCUGGAUCCAGUGGUAUGAAAGUCAACACCUGUAUUUUGGGUCUAAGUACAUGAGACACAAUGGUGGACAAUCUAUACUGAGAGCCUCAAUUCUUCCUGUAGACAGUGUCUCCUCAGUGGAGUAAAAGCCUCACGGUGUGUUGAAUCUUGGUCUGAGAGUCGCCAACCCACUGGUGGACCGGAUCCACUUACAAGAGUCAAUGUUCAAACUUUCAACUGUCUCCAGCUGUGAGAUUCAGAACCUCAACAGGGAUGCAGGUUAUGAAGAUGAGAGCGUGAGACAGCGAGCUGUAAGGGAAGCAGGUUACCCAGGGAUGGACAGAGGAUGGGCCCUGGCCCUCAUGUUAUGAAGCUUCUCCACGUGGUGCCUUCCUCUGUCAAAUGGGCAGAAGAAUAUCCUUUUGAUAGAAUUAAAAUAUACGAAAACCAUUUAUUCUCCUGUUACAAUGAUUUUUAUUUCCACAGCAACACUUAGUACCUGCCCCCCCCUCCAGCUUGCCCUGCCCACCAACCAGGAGCGGGGCCAGCCUGGAUCUCUUCUCUGCCGCUGGCGUAGGGGCGGGGGCGGGGGACAGUGUCUUCAGCAAAAGUCUGCGGAUAGAAAGGCCCCGCUCCUGUCCGGACAGCAGGAAUGGGAGAGCCGCCUCCAACCCCAGCCCCAUGGAGCAGGGCAGAAACGCUGCCCACUGCCCUGCUCCUGCCACCAGGAAGGGCGUGUGGGGGGCCACUUUCUGUAAAGAAGAAACCGCCUGAACAACAAGUGGCUCAAGGCACCCUUGUCUAACGACCAGGGACACUGAGCGCCAGGGCCCAAGUCACCAGCAAGAGAAAACCCAGGCGGAGCCCAGGGUGUCCCCCACUGCCCACCAGCCACUGCGGUCAACGUGAAGGGCAAGGGUGCAAGCGGGAUCGCGUCACAGGGAGCCGAGUGAGCCCAGAAAGUAGGAGAAGGACGUUUCCACCCAC